Molecule: unclassified non-coding RNA, 329 nt
Filed under: soil metagenome
Description: partial contains 5.8S ribosomal RNA, internal transcribed spacer 2, and large subunit ribosomal RNA
Rfam family: 5.8S ribosomal RNA (bases 1-120)
Source: RNAcentral
GAUGAAGAACGCAGCGAAAUGCGAUAAGUAGUUUGAAUUGCAGAAUUCAGUGAAUCAUCGAAUCUUUGAACGCACAUUGCGCCCCUUGGUAUCCCGAGGGGCAUGCCUGUUCGAGCGUCAUUUCACCACUCAAGCCUGGCUUGGUGUUGGGCGACGUCCUCUUUGGGGACGCGCCUCGAAACGCUCGGCGGCGUGGCACCGGCUUUAAGCGUAGCAGAAUCUUUCGCUUUGGAAGUCGGGGCCCCGUCUGCCGGAAGACCUGCUCGCAAGGUUGACCUCGGAUCAGGCAGGGAUACCCGCUGAACUUAAGCAUAUCAAUAAGCGGAGGA